Molecule: ribosomal RNA, 408 nt
Filed under: soil bacterium 2V-07
Lineage: Bacteria
Description: bacterial SSU rRNA
Rfam family: Bacterial small subunit ribosomal RNA
Source: RNAcentral
UCAGAACGAACGCUGGCGGCAGGCUUAACACAUGCAAGUCGAGCGCCCCGCAAGGGGAGCGGCAGACGGGUGAGUAACGCGUGGGAACGUACCCUUUACUACGGAAUAACGCAGGGAAACUUGUGCUAAUACCGUAUGUGCCCUUCGGGGGAAAGAUUUAUCGGUAAGGGAUCGGCCCGCGUUGGAUUAGCUAGUUGGUGGGGUAAAGGCCUACCAAGGCGACGAUCCAUAGCUGGUCUGAGAGGAUGAUCAGCCACAUUGGGACUGAGACACGGCCCAAACUCCUACGGGAGGCAGCAGUGGGGAAUAUUGGACAAUGGGCGCAAGCCUGAUCCAGCCAUGCCGCGUGAGUGAUGAAGGCCCUAGGGUUGUAAAGCUCUUUCACCGGAGAAGAUAAUGACGGUUCCG